CUUUGAGUGAUGAUUAACAAAUUAGUCGGAUACCCCUUCACUCUAUUUGAGUGACAAAUUGAAUCUGACAAGU
Bombina bombina (fire-bellied toad) is the source of this 73-nucleotide small nucleolar RNA. RefSeq annotates it as small nucleolar RNA SNORD101. NCBI's taxonomy places the organism in Eukaryota, Metazoa, Chordata, Amphibia, Anura, Bombinatoridae. The transcript has a single exon. The record is from RefSeq and is a predicted model, not a curated record.